Molecule: ribosomal RNA, 492 nt
Filed under: uncultured bacterium
Lineage: Bacteria
Description: partial 16S ribosomal RNA
Rfam family: Bacterial small subunit ribosomal RNA
Source: RNAcentral
AGUGAACGCUGGCGGUAGGCCUAACACAUGCAAGUCGAACGGCAGCACAGUAAGAGCUUGCUCUUACGGGUGGCGAGUGGCGGACGGGUGAGGAAUACAUCGGAAUCUACUUUUUCGUGGGGGAUAACGUAGGGAAACUUACGCUAAUACCGCAUACGACCUACGGGUGAAAGCAGGGGAUCUUCGGACCUUGCGCGAUUGAAUGAGCCGAUGUCGGAUUAGCUAGUUGGCGGGGUAAAGGCCCACCAAGGCGACGAUCCGUAGCUGGUCUGAGAGGAUGAUCAGCCACACUGGAACUGAGACACGGUCCAGACUCCGACGGGAGGCAGCAGUGGGGAAUAUUGGACAAUGGGGGCAAGCCUGAUACAGCCAUACCGCGUGGGUGAAGAAGGCCUUCGGGUUGUAAAGCCCUUUUGUUGGGAAAGAAAAGCAGCAGGUUAAUACCCCGCUGUUCUGACGGUACCCAAAGAAUAAGCACCGGCUAACUUCGUG